Molecule: long non-coding RNA, 663 nt
Organism: Cyprinus carpio carpio
Lineage: Eukaryota; Metazoa; Chordata; Actinopteri; Cypriniformes; Cyprinidae
Source: Ensembl
UUUUUUUGGGAUUAAGUUAAUUUUCAUGGCAAAGAAGGACUAUGCAAUUCAUCUGAUCACUCUUCAUAACAUUCUGGAGUAUAUGCAAAUUGCUAUUAUAAAAACUUAAGCAGUAACUUUUCCAAUUUCCAAUAUUUAUGUAAUUCUCAAAACUUUUGGCCACGACUGUACACAAGAGAAAAGGAAAAUUAUCACAAAUAGUCAGAAGAGGGCAGUGUAGCCCACUCAAUAAUCCUUAAAUUUCAGCGCAUUUAUUCUGAAGUCCCAAUGAAAUCAAAAUGGAAGUUUUUUUGGUGAGGACAGUAAAGUUAUAUAUAAGAUAGUGCACUCCAACAGACAAAAUGACAAAAUUUGCAUUUAAAUGUCCCGGCUGAGCCAGGACACCUUUUUGUGUGGAGUUUGCAUGUUCUCCCCGUGUCUGUGUGGGUUUCCGCCAGGUGCUAUGGUUUCCCCCACAAUCCAAAAGACAUGCAAUACAGAUCUGCUUUUAUGAACUCCACAACCCGAGCUAAUGCAAGGGAGACGAGGUCAAAGGUUAUUUCAACACAACUGUUUUCAUCCCUCCAAGCUUAAUUCCAACAUAUGCAACAAUUAAAGAUGAUGACAAAUAUUCAGGCCCAUGUGAGAACAUUUCUGGCUUCUGACGGCUUUGGAAACAUCUCC